AUGUGGUGCGUGUGCGUGUGUGUGUCUGUGUGUGUGUGUGUGUGUGUGUGUGAGAGAGAGAGAGAGAGAGAGAGAGAGAGAGAGAAAGAGAGAGAGACAACCCUGGUAGGCAGGCGAAAGCACCCCUCACCUCCCCCAGCCCCGAAGCCUUUCUCGAUCUCCCGGCGAAAGGCUGUGGCGGACGGGGUGGGGCGGGGGAGGCGGGGACGGGGGAGGGAAAGAGGGAGGACGGGGCAGGCGGCGCGGGCAGCAUCUCCUGCCUUCUCUGCAGCUCAGAGGCCAGGGGUGGAAGGAAGCCGCAGCCGCAGCCCCAAGUCAACCCCUGCUGCCCCGUCCCACCAUCUCAUCUCUCCCCCCUCGAGUCUUGCUCUGUUACCCAGAUUGGAGUGCAGUGGCACUGUCUCGGCUCACUGCAAUUUUCGCCUUCCAGAUUCAAGCAAUUCUUGUGCCUCAGCCUCCUGAGUAGUUGGGAUUACAGGUAUGUGCCACCAUGCCUGGCUAACUUUUGUAUGGGAUUUUGUCAUGCUGCCCAGGCUAGUCUUGAACUGGCCUCAAGUGCUCCGCCCACCUUAGCCUCCCAAAGUCCUGGGAUUACAGGUGUGAGCCACUACACCUGGUCCUUCCAGACUCUUUAAAAAAAAUACUUCAGCCAUCCACAGCAAAGAUGUUUGUGCUUCCCAUUCAUUCAUACUUUACUUCAAUAGCAGGCAAGCUUUCACACUGGUCACAUAAAACACCUAUAAUGGUUGCCAUUCCUGAAAGGUGAGAGUUUGCAGGUGGCAGUUCAGUGUUGUGCUCCCUACCAACUUUAUUCUUAUGAAGCAGGUGGAUACAUUCUUACUCAGCCAUGAAAGAGUGUCUGACCCAUAGCCCUCAGGAACAUUUUUCUUUCUGACUGGUCAAUUAUUUAUUUCACAGACACAGAAAGUACUUCCUAUGUGCCAGGUACUGUUCUAAAUAGUUCACGAAUACUAAUUUAUUUAAUCUUCAUGACAACCCCAGCAGAUAAUUACUGAUAUUAACUUCAUUAUACAGGCAAGAAAUGUAGGUCACAGAAUUACUAAAUAACUUGCCUGAGGUCACAAUGCUAAUAAGCAGUGGGACAGAAAUCGAAACCCAGGCAGUUUGAUACCAGAGCUUGCCUGCUUGACUACUACAUUUAUCUGCCUUCUGACUUUCUUCUGCCUUCCACACUCCAACCUACCUCUUUUUCAAGACGAGACCUUAUUCUCUCCUAAGCUCUUGUCUUUCCAGUUGUUUUCUCUGGCAUAUUACUUGCGUACAUAGUGCAAGAUUUGGAGAGGAGGGUGGCUGUGUGAAAUGGCCCUGCCUAAAUGAUAAGCUCUCUUUUACUUAGUGCAUUUUGUUUUUGUGCUUUUUGUUGCCAACUUUUUUUUAUGAUAAAAGUUUUCUCUCCAGCUGCUUAGUCAAUUGAUUCUCUGAUGGUUAAAAACAGAAAACCUUGAGAGAAAUUUGGGCAAUUUUGUUAAUUUCUCAGAUGUCUGAGAUUGGCAUAGGCUGUGAUGGCUGCACUUCGCUCUGCCUCUAUUCUUUCCAGUGCCUGUAUACUUGAGAUGAGACCAAAUGAGCCCUAGAUCACUUCCAACAGCAUGAUGAGUGGAGGGAGGCUCUUGUUAAAAUACAGAUUCUGAUGUAUACCUAAGUUUUUUAAGGUCCACUGCCCCAGAAAGCUUUGUGAAAGGCCAGGCUAUAGAAUUAAUAUGGUGUUUUUGAAAAAAUGCAGAUUCCCUGGCCCAAACCCUGGAGUGUUUGUGUAAUGGUGUACUGGUUGUCAAACCAUCACUCUUAAACAAACAAAAAUCUUAUUUGUAGCAGUUGCCUAUUUCCAUGGUGUAAAUAAUUCCACCGUAGCUUAUUUCAAGCCACAUAUGUGAAGUCACUGAACUCAGAGUUGGGAAGGCAAGUGUACAAUUAGUUCUUGCAAGCCAGUGCAAGCUGUCACCACCACCCUGGAUGGGCGGAUGUGAGAGGGUGUGAGUAGGAAGUUGGCAGUAACCUAAGAAGGGGCAGAGCAUUGAAUGCAAAUGUAAGUGGCAGGGCUGGAAUUUAAACCCAGCUUUUUUUAAACCCAACUCUUUCUUACUCUAAAGCUGCCUUUCCCUCCAGCUCUGUCUGUGAAAGUUCUGUUCAUACUUCAAGGCCUAGCUCAGCUACAACCUGCUUUAUGAAGCCUUCUCUGUAUCGUCUUCCCACUUCCAGCAGAUGCGUCUUUUCCCGUCACUAUGGGAUGGGUUAUGGGAGAGAUAUCAUUAUUUCAGGCAUGAUCCUUAGGCAGAUUUAGUCUUUUUAAAACAAGUAGCUUGGUGAAGAAAAGCAUUGGGACAUAAUGACAAGAACAUAGAUUUUAGAGUCAUAUAUGAAUUCAAAUUCCAGCUCCAAUAUUGAUCAACUAUGUAGAGAAAUAAUCACCACUCUAAGCUACAGUUUUUAUAGAUAUAAAAUCGGAUAAGAGCAAUGCUGCAGGAUCAUUGUAAAGAUUAGUAAAAUAUAUGGGAAGUGCCAGGCAUUCAUUAAAUGCCCAAUAAAUGGUGGAUAUAAUUAUUCAUGUAUUUGCCCUAAAAGACAAAUGUCAUUCAUACUUUCUUCCUCAAUUGUUUGAUAUCAAAAGUACAGCCUAUAGUGUAGCUUUCCACUUGUCCACCAUAAAUACCAUUCCCCCUCCAUCCAACCAAAAAGUCAGCAUUUGAGCUUGUCUUUGGUGAUUCAGCCUCACCCCAAGCUUUGGUCAGGGCUGCCAACACAUGCAGAAGCUAAGUCUUUGGUUGCCCUAUAUCUCACCAAGCGGCAAAUGUCUGUCUUGCCUGACAUUCACUUGCACCUCUUACCUCACCUUCUUUUUGCUGUCAGGGCUAUGAGUAAAUAGGAAGGGAUGAGGU
This 2897-nucleotide long non-coding RNA is filed under the name Callithrix jacchus (white-tufted-ear marmoset). Its description in RNAcentral is "lncRNA (ENSCJAG00000080066.1)". The record is from RNAcentral. Lineage: Eukaryota; Metazoa; Chordata; Mammalia; Primates; Cebidae.